This 253-nucleotide ribosomal RNA is filed under the name uncultured bacterium. Its description in RNAcentral is "partial 16S ribosomal RNA". It matches the Rfam family "Bacterial small subunit ribosomal RNA", at positions 524 to 776 of the family's 1533-position model. The record is from RNAcentral.
UACAGAGGUGGCAAGCGUUGUUCGGAAUUACUGGGCGUAAAGGGCGCGUAGGCGGCUUGGUCAGUCCCGUGUGAAAUCCCUCGGCUCAACUGAGGAACUGCACGGGAAACUGCCUGGCUUGAGUUCGGGAGAGGGAAGCGGAAUUCCUGGUGUAGCGGUGAAAUGCGCAGAUAUCAGGAGGAACACCGGUGGCGAAGGCAGCCCCCUGGGCUGAGAUUGACGCUCAGGCACGAAAGCGUGGGGAGCAAACAGG